UAUCUCUGUAGAGUCUGCAUAUCAAUAAGCGGAGGAAAAGAAACUAACAAGGAUUCCCUUAGUAACGGCGAGUGAAGCGGGAAGAGCUCAAAUUUGAAAUCUUCAAGGUUCUACCUUGACGAAUUGUAGUUUAAAGAAGUGUUUUCUGUUAGAUGAGUAGCAAAAGUUCCUUGGAAUGGGACAUCAUAGAGGGUGAGAAUCCCGUAUUUGGUUAUUCAUUCUAGCUUUGUGAUACACUUUCAAAGAGUCGGAUUGUUUGGGAAUGCAGUCCAAAAUGGGUGGUAAAUUUCAUCUAAAGCUAAAUAUUGGCGAGAGACCGAUAGCGAACAAGUACCGUGAGGGAAAGAUGAAAAGAACUUUGAAAAGAGAGUUAAACAGUACGUGAAAUUGUCAAAAGGGAAGCGUUUGACACCAGUGUUGUUUUUCCGAAAAUCAAUUACGAAUGGCUUGAUUUUGUGUUGUAUUGACCUUAUCAGCUUUCUUCACUUUUUUCGAGUUUUUCUUAAUGCACUUUUUCGGUUAACAAGUCAACAUCAAUUUCUUUUGUUGUAAAAGAGUAUUCGGAAGGUGGCUUUCUUUUCGGAGAAAGUGUUUAUAGCCCUAUACUUCUACAAUCGGAGAGAUUGAGGUCUGCAGCGUAGAUCCUUCGGGGUUAGAUACACUUGUGCUAAGUUGUAGCUUUUCAUAGACAACUUGUUGACUAUGUUUAGUCAUGCGGCUUACUCGCUUGUGCUAUUUUACCUACGCUUAGGAUGUUGACUGAUAUGUAGUCGUA
This 775-nucleotide ribosomal RNA is filed under the name uncultured Neocallimastigales. Its description in RNAcentral is "partial large subunit ribosomal RNA". It matches the Rfam family "Eukaryotic large subunit ribosomal RNA", at positions 24 to 644 of the family's 3401-position model. The record is from RNAcentral. Lineage: Eukaryota; Fungi; Neocallimastigomycota; Neocallimastigomycetes; Neocallimastigales.